Molecule: long non-coding RNA, 824 nt
Organism: Folsomia candida
Lineage: Eukaryota; Metazoa; Arthropoda; Collembola; Entomobryomorpha; Isotomidae
Exons: 2
Source: RefSeq, a predicted model, not a curated record
GCACAUUUGGACUGAAAGGUGCCACACCAUUCUUAUCAGAGAGAGAUUCGAUACAUGUUUAAAACUAUGACAGAAGUUGGUCACCGGUACGCGAUGAGUGAAAUGAAAUUUUUAUUACGGGUAGUUUGUCCCCUUGAUGAAAAAGGGUGGUAAUAAGCAAAUCAUUAUAUUUUUUUAAUGGAGGUAUAAAAAAUGUGCAAGUUGAAGAAUUGAAAAUGCAUGUGUGUACCUAGCCGGUUGUUUAAUUUUGAAUGGAAUUGCAGAUGUACAUAUAUUUUUUAAUGCAGAUUUUGGCUAGUAGACUUAAAAAUCACUGCCGUAAUUCUCAUCAUCUCGUCAGCCUUUGUACUUGGAUAAUAAAGGUCAAAGAACGAAAUUGGAAGAGUAGCGAUGGAGGAACGAAGUUUGGCAGAAAUUGUAGCAAAUUGCCCAUUUAUUAUUGGUGUCAUUACUUGCACGCGAUUCCUUCGUCUCGUCGACAUGUUUCCUCGCCUUUUUGUGUGUGAUGUGAAUGCAUGUGAAUGCAUCCCCGACGUUGGAAAUCAAUCUGAACUAUAUUUCUCCCAGAAUGGAAUUUACAAGUCAUACAAUCAAUAUUUGUUCAUCCACUCGACACUCUCUCUCCCACAACUUUUUGGCAUGAACACCACCUUAAUUUCCAACAAAAAUCUAUCCAAUAUCAAAAGCACUACAUACGUGACGAGGAGUCCAAAUUUCUGAAUCUUUUCACUCACUGCGUGUCUAAUGCAGUGGACGACCGUCAUGUUCUACACUUGACUGGAUGAAGAAACGUGCCUUUAAUAAAGUCGGGAUUAGAAUAUUUA